Molecule: ribosomal RNA, 486 nt
Filed under: uncultured Flavobacteriaceae bacterium
Lineage: Bacteria; Pseudomonadati; Bacteroidota; Flavobacteriia; Flavobacteriales; Flavobacteriaceae
Description: bacterial SSU rRNA
Rfam family: Bacterial small subunit ribosomal RNA
Source: RNAcentral
GAUGAACGCUAGCGGCAGGCCUAACACAUGCAAGUCGAGGGGUAACAUAAGGUGCUUGCACUUUGAUGACGACCGGCGCACGGGUGCGCAACGCGUAUGGAACCUGCCCUUUGCAGGGGAAUAGCCCAGAGAAAUUUGGAUUAAUGCCCCAUAGUACCCUUAUAUGACAUCGUAUUGGGGUUAAAGGCUCCGGCCGGCAAAGGAUGGCCAUGCGUACCAUUAGCUGGUUGGUAAGGUAACGGCUUACCAAGGCAACGAUGGUUAGGGGCCCUGAGAGGGGGAUCCCCCACACUGGUACUGAGACACGGACCAGACUCCUACGGGAGGCAGCAGUGAGGAAUAUUGGACAAUGGGCGGGAGCCUGAUCCAGCCAUGCCGCGUGCAGGAAGAAUGCCCUAUGGGUAGUAAACUGCUUUUAUACGGGAAGAAACCGCGCUACGUGUAGCGCGCUGACGGUACCGUAAGAAUAAGGACCGGCUAACUCCG